This 379-nucleotide ribosomal RNA is filed under the name Schizothrix sp. CCMEE 6120. RNAcentral describes it as "bacterial SSU rRNA". It matches the Rfam family "Bacterial small subunit ribosomal RNA", at positions 376 to 770 of the family's 1533-position model. RNAcentral also lists the same sequence under 2 other names. Lineage: Bacteria; Bacillati; Cyanobacteriota; Cyanophyceae; Leptolyngbyales; Schizotrichaceae. The record is from RNAcentral.
CGAAAGCCUGACGGAGCAAUACCGCGUGAGGGAGGAAGGCUCUUGGGUUGUAAACCUCUUUUGAUUGGGAAGAAGAACUGACGGUACCAAUCGAAUCAGCAUCGGCUAACUCCGUGCCAGCAGCCGCGGUAAUACGGAGGAUGCAAGCGUUAUCCGGAUUUAUUGGGCGUAAAGCGUCCGCAGGUGGCUGGUCAAGUCUGCUGUCAAAGCGCGGGGCUUAACCCCGUAAAGGCGGUGGAAACUGGUCAGCUAGAGUCUGGUAGGGGUUGCGGGAAUUCCCAGUGUAGCGGUGAAAUGCGUAGAUAUUGGGAAGAACACCGGCGGCGAAAGCGCGCAACUGGACCAGAACUGACACUCAUGGACGAAAGCUAGGGGAGCG